GUAACACGUAGUCAACCUGCCCUGGAGACAUGGACAACCCCGGGAAACUGGGAUUAAUCCGUGAUAGGUCAUCCCAUCUGGAAGGAGGGAUGGCUUAAAGGGGCGCGCGGGCUUCUUCUGCGCGUCCGCUCCAGGAUGGGACUGCGUCCGAUCAGGCUGUUGGCGGGGUAAUGGCCCACCAAACCUGUAACCGGUACGGGCCUUGAGAGAGGUGGCCCGGAGAUGGACACUGAGAGAAGGGUCCAGGUCCUACGGGGCGCAGCAGGCGCGAAACCUUCGCAAUGCGCGAAAGCGUGACGAGGUUAAUCCGAGUGGUCCCCGCUGAGGGGACCUUUUGUCAGCUGUAAAUAGGCGGGCGAAUAAGGGGAGGGCAAGCCUGGUGUCAGCCGCCGCGGUAAUACCAGCUCCUCGAGUGGUCGGGGCGAUUAUUGGGCCUAAAGCAUCCGUAGCCGGUUCCGUAGGUCCUCUGUUAAAUCCACCCGCCCAACGGGUGACCUGCAGAGGAUGCCGCGGGACU
Molecule: ribosomal RNA, 517 nt
Filed under: uncultured archaeon
Lineage: Archaea
Description: bacterial SSU rRNA
Rfam family: Archaeal small subunit ribosomal RNA
Source: RNAcentral